AGUGAACGCUGGCGGCAGGCCUAACACAUGCAAGUCGAGCGGCAGCGCGGGGGCAACCCUGGCGGCGAGCGGCGGACGGGUGAGGAAUUCGUCGGAAUCUGCCUUUUUGUGGGGGAUAACGUAGGGAAACUUACGCUAAUACCGCAUACGUCCUACGGGAGAAAGUGGGGGACCGCAAGGCCUCACGCAGCAAGAUGAGCCGACGACCCAGUAGCUAGCUGGGGGGGUUAAGGCCCACCAAGGCGACGAGCGGUAGCUGGUCUGAGAGGAGGAGCAGCCACACUGGGACUGGGACGCGGCCCAGACCUAUGGGGGGAGCAGCGGUAAGAAAAAGUGAACGAUGGGCCCAGGCCCGAUCGAGCCAUGACGGAUGGGAGAAGAAAGCCCUCGGGUUGUAAAGCACUUUUGUCCGGAAAGAAAGCCCUGGAGCUACUACCUUAGGCGGAUCACCGGAACGGAAGAACAAGCAACGGCUAACCUCGUGA
This 485-nucleotide ribosomal RNA is filed under the name uncultured bacterium. RNAcentral's name for it is "partial 16S ribosomal RNA". It matches the Rfam family "Bacterial small subunit ribosomal RNA", at positions 30 to 508 of the family's 1533-position model. The record is from RNAcentral.